GAUGAACGCUGGCGGCGUGCCUAAUACAUGCAAGUCGAGCGAACGGACGAGAAGCUUGCUUUUCUGAUGUUAGCGGCGGACGGGUGAGUAACACGUGGAUAACCUACCUAUAAGACUGGGAUAACUUCGGGAAACCGGAGCUAAUACCGGAUAAUAUUUUGAACCGCAUGGUUCAAAAGUGAAAGACGGUCUUGCUGUCACUUAUAGAUGGAUCCGCGCUGCAUUAGCUAGUUGGUAAGGUAACGGCUUACCAAGGCAACGAUGCAUAGCCGACCUGAGAGGGUGGAUGGCCACCCUGGAACUGGGACACGGUCCCAGCUCCUUAGGGAGGCAGCAGGAGGGAAUCUUCCGGAAUGGGGGGAAGCCUGGCGGAGCAACCGCGCGUGGGUUGUGAAGGUCUUCGGAUCGGAAAAAUGUGUUAUUAGGGGAAAACAUAUGUGUAAGUAACUGUGCACAUCUUGACGGUACCUAAUCAGAAAGCCACGGCUAACUACGUG
RNAcentral lists this ribosomal RNA (497 nucleotides) under uncultured bacterium. RNAcentral describes it as "partial 16S ribosomal RNA". It matches the Rfam family "Bacterial small subunit ribosomal RNA", at positions 28 to 507 of the family's 1533-position model. The record is from RNAcentral.